RNAcentral lists this ribosomal RNA (540 nucleotides) under uncultured bacterium. RNAcentral's name for it is "bacterial SSU rRNA". It matches the Rfam family "Bacterial small subunit ribosomal RNA", at positions 355 to 896 of the family's 1533-position model. The record is from RNAcentral.
UAGGGAAUAUUGGUCAAUGGAUGCAAGUCUGAACCAGCCAUGCCGCGUGCAGGAAGAAGGCGUUAUGCGUUGUAAACUGCUUUUGCCAGGGGAUAAAAUUUCCUUGCGAGGAACAUUGAAGGUACCUGGUGAAUAAGCCACGGCUAACUACGUGCCAGCAGCCGCGGUAAUACGUAGGUGGCAAGCGUUGUCCGGAUUUAUUGGGUUUAAAGGGUGCGUAGGCGGCCCUGUAAGUCAGUGGUGAAAUACUCCAGCUUAACUGGAGGGGUGCCAUUGAUACUGCAGGGCUUGAGUGGAGUCGAAGUAGGCGGAAUUGACGGUGUAGCGGUGAAAUGCUUAGAUAUCGUCAAGAACACCGAUAGUGAAGACAGCUUACUAGGCUUCUACUGACGCUGAGGCACGAAAGUGUGGGGAUCAAACAGGAUUAGAUACCCUGGUAGUCCACACUGUAAACGUUGAUUACUCGCUGCUGGCGAUACACAGCCAGCGGCCCAGCGCAAGCGAUAAGUAAUCCACCUGGGGAGUACGCCGGCAACGGUG